GAAAUGCGAUAAGUAAUGUGAAUUGCAGAAUUCAGUGAAUCAUCGAAUCUUUGAACGCACCUUGCGCUCCUUGGUAUUCCGAGGAGCAUGCCUGUUUGAGUGUCAUUGAAUCAUCAACCCCCACUUCCUUGUGGAGUCGGGUGCUUGGAUAUGGAGACUGCAGGCCCUCUUGGGUCAGCUUCUCUGAAAUGCAUUAGCAGAGCCCAUCCUGUGCAUCUGUGGCUUGGUGUGAUAGUAUCUACGCCUAGCGAUGUUGUGCAUUCGAAUCUGCUGCCAGUCGUCCACCUUCUCUGGACACUUAUUGACAAUUUGACCUCAAAUCAGGUAGGAUUACCCGCUGAACUUAA
Molecule: ribosomal RNA, 347 nt
Filed under: Pluteus leoninus
Lineage: Eukaryota; Fungi; Basidiomycota; Agaricomycetes; Agaricales; Pluteaceae
Description: eukaryotic LSU rRNA
Rfam family: 5.8S ribosomal RNA (bases 1-105)
Source: RNAcentral